AAACUGGAGAGUUUGAUCCUGGCUCAGAACUAACGCUGGCGGCGUGCCUAACACAUGCAAGUCGUACGAGAAAGUUGGCUUCGGCCGAUGAGUAAAGUGGCGCACGGGUGAGUAACGCGUGGAUAAUCUACCUUUUAGUUUGGAAUAACGUACCGAAAGGUGCGCUAAUACCGGAUAAUGCUGCACAACUACUGUUGUGUCGUCAAAGAAGGCUUCUGUUUACAUGCUUUUGCUGAAAGAUGAGUCCGCGUACCAUUAGCUAGUUGGUAGGGUAAUGGCCUACCAAGGCUACGAUGGUUAGCUGGUCUGAGAGGAUGAUCAGCCACACUGGAACUGAGACACGGUCCAGACUCCUACGGGAGGCAGCAGUGAGGAAUAUUGCGCAAUGGGGGCAACCCUGACGCAGCAACGCCGCGUGAGUGAGGAAGGUUUUCGGACCGUAAAGCUCUGUCGAGCGGGAAGAAAUGCAUGGUGGCUAAUAUCCAUCAUGCUUGACGGUACCGCUAAAGGAAGCACCGGCUAACUCCGUGCCAGCAGCCGCGGUAAUACGGGGGGUGCAAGCGUUGUUCGGAAUUAUUGGGCGUAAAGAGCGUGUAGGCGGCUGAAUAAGUCAGAUGUGAAAUCCCUGGGCUUAACCCAGGACGUGCAUUUGAAACUAUUCAGCUUGAGUAGGGGAGAGGAAAGUGGAAUUCCUGGUGUAGAGGUGAAAUUCGUAGAUAUCAGGAGGAACACCGGUGGCGAAGGCGACUUUCUGGCCCUAUACUGACGCUGAGACGCGAGAGCGUGGGUAGCAAACAGGAUUAGAUACCCUGGUAGUCCACGC
Molecule: ribosomal RNA, 823 nt
Filed under: Syntrophaceae bacterium
Lineage: Bacteria; Pseudomonadati; Thermodesulfobacteriota; Syntrophia; Syntrophales; Syntrophaceae
Description: bacterial SSU rRNA
Rfam family: Bacterial small subunit ribosomal RNA
Source: RNAcentral